UGCAGUCGAGCGAGAAAGCCUGACUUCGGUUAGGCGAGUAAAGUGGCGAACGGGUGAGUAACACGUGGACAACCUACCCUUGAAUCUGGGAUAAUCCACCGAAAGGCGGUCUAAUACCGGAUAAUGCCAAUUAGGGGCAUCUCUUUUUGGUCAAAGGCGGGGUAACCUGCCGUUUUAGGAUGGGUCCGCGUUCCAUUAGCUUGUUGGUGAGGUAACGGCCCACCAAGGCGACGAUGGAUAGCCGGCUUGAGAGAGUGAUCGGCCACACUGGGACUGAGAUACGGCCCAGACUCCUACGGGAGGCAGCAGUAGGGAAUAUUGCGCAAUGGACGAAAGUCUGACGCAGCAACGCCGCGUGGGUGAUGAAGCAUCUUGGUGUGUAAAACCCUGUCAGUGGGGAAGAACCGUACGGAGAAUAACUGCUCUGUACCUGACGGUACCCACAGAGGAAGUCCCGGCUAACUCCGUGCCAGCAGCCGCGGUAAUACGGGGGGGACAAGCGUUGUUCGGAUUUACUGGGCGUAAAGGGCGCGUAGGCGGACCUUCAAGUCGGAUGUGAAAACUAUUGGCUCAACUGAUAGCCUGCAUACGAUACUGUUGGUCUUGAGUAUAUCAGAGGAAAGCGGAAUUCCAGGUGUAGCGGUGAAAUGCGUAGAUAUCUGGAAGAACACCAGUUGCGAAGGCGGCUUUCUGGG
This 695-nucleotide ribosomal RNA is filed under the name uncultured bacterium. Its description in RNAcentral is "bacterial SSU rRNA". It matches the Rfam family "Bacterial small subunit ribosomal RNA", at positions 56 to 733 of the family's 1533-position model. The record is from RNAcentral.